Molecule: long non-coding RNA, 2755 nt
Filed under: Salvia miltiorrhiza (redroot sage)
Lineage: Eukaryota; Viridiplantae; Streptophyta; Magnoliopsida; Lamiales; Lamiaceae
Description: long non-coding RNA (SMIL_LNC000027)
Source: RNAcentral
UAAUAUUAGCCUUUUAAAUUAACACAAACAGUUGCACAUAUUUGACUCUUUUGAUGUCUUAAUUUACACUAAUUAAAUAAUGGAUACCCUGUAAUUAGAAUAUUACAUUAUCAACUUGUUCACAGCUCUCCCUCUCUCUCUCUCUCUUCAACAUCAUAUCCCUUCCAUUUCAGCCUUCUCUCUCUCUCUCUCUUGUUGGUUGCGUAUGGAAUAGAGCUGUUUUAUAUAUUACAAGUCAGUCAGCGAAUUCCUCUCUAACUCUCUCUCUCUCUAAAGGACAAUUUUAUUCUGUUGUUCAAUUUCCAACUUGGUGAACUAGGUUUGGUUUCUUGAAGAAGUAGUACAAUAACCUUAAAUCAAGAGUGCAUGUUGUUUGCUUGUGUUUGGUGCAAAUGUGACAGCGGUGGUGGUGUCGAGUAGUAUGUGCAGCCACUACUUGUUGAAGAAGAAGAAGAAGAAGAGGAAGAUGGAGAAUUACCAGGGCGAUUUAACCGACAUAAUCAGAGCCACCGGCGGAGCAGAAACCCCCGCCGCCGCACCGGACUGGCACUUCCCCGCCAACCCGAUCACCUUCUCCACCAACCCGGCCGACGAUUUCGGUGAUCCCUUUGCGCACCUCAGAGAUCCGCUGAUCCAUAUCGAUGCACCGCCGCCGCUGCCAGGGUUCUUCCAUGGCUCCGACGUCAUCAAACCUAGUAGCGUCGAUGACAGCAAUCUAGGUCAUAAAAUUAUUGAUGAUGAGAUGAAGAGACCUCCGAAUAUCUUCUCGAGGAUGCUGCAGAUAUCUCCCUCGCCAAAGCUGCCGCUGCCGCUGCCGCUACCCUGCGAUUCUCCUGUCGUAGUUGCUCCGACAGGAUUAAAAGGUGUUGCUCCGAUGUUAGUGCCAAAUGAUCAUACCUUAAUUUCUCCGAGCAACUCCAGAGGUUGCUUGAUGGAGAGCAGUCUGCAGAUCUCAUCUCCGCGAAAUACGGGCAUCAGAAGAAGGUGGGCAUUUUCUUCUUAAUAUCCAAAUCAAAGUGAUUAAUUACCCAAUUAAUGACAACUCUGCAACCACCAUUGAAAUCUGCAAGACUUUGAUUAAUUAAGUCUUGUAUUUAUUGAGUUUUGGAGUCAUUACCUCUAAGCUUGUAUUUAACUCUGAGUAUNAAUGGUCCCACCAUUCUCUUUAAUAUUUUAUCCUUACUAACACUCUUUAUUUACAAAAAAAAUCACUCAAAAUUCAAUCUCAACCACUCAUCUCAUAAAGUGGUGGGACUCUUUCUCCACUACAUCAAAAUCAUCACCAAUUUUAUUAAAUCUCGUGCCCAAACAAAUUGCCAUAAUCUUAGCGGACGGAGGGAGUACUAUUUAAUAUUUAUAUUUUUUAUUAAAAAUAUUAUUUAAUUUUUAUAAUUGUCGUGGAUGACGCACUACUAGUAAUAAUAAUGUGUGCGUGUGUUGAUCUAAGGAUAAAUAUGUAAUGUACAGGGCUUGAGAUCCUGAGUUCGAGUUCACCGUCAUACGGUCUUUAAAUAUCUUUAUUUACUUGUGUAAUUUAAUAAUAAUAAUAAUAAUAAUAAUAAUAAUAAUAAUAAUAAUAAUAAUAAUAAUAAUAAUAAUAAAGGGUUACAUUAGAUCUUUUCGAAUUCUAGGAUAUACAUUUUCAAUUAGUAGAUUUUUCCCAAUUAUAGAAUAUACAUUAUCAAAAUAAAUGUGAAUACUUAUUGGAAACGAAGGUCCGAACGGAAGGGAGUACUUGGUUAGGGCCAAUGUUUUGAAACGUUCUCCGAUAAUUGCGGCUACUUGCCGCCUCCAUAGUUUUCAAUCGAAAAAAUGACCUUUUCUCCACAACUCUUUAAACUAAUCGAAUAAUUUUGAGACGCUUUUACACUCAGCAAAACAACAAAAGGCGUGGCCCAGGAUAUGGAGAUUAGAUAGUCAUAGAGAUGGCAAGGAUUGAACAACAGAUAUAUGUUUAUAAUAUUAGCCUUUUAAAUUAACACAAACAGUUGCACAUAUUUGACUCUUUUGAUGUCUUAAUUUACACUAAUUAAAUAAUGGAUACCCUGUAAUUAGAAUAUUACAUUAUCAACUUGUUCACAGCUCUCCCUCCUCUCUCUCUCUCUUCAACAUCAUAUCCCUUCCAUUUCAGCCUUCUCUCUCUCUCUCUCUUGUUGGUUGCGUAUGGAAUAGAGCUGUUUUAUAUAUUACAAGUCAGUCAGCGAAUUCCUCUCUAACUCUCUCUCUUUCUAAAGGUACAAUUUUAUUCUGUUGUUCAAUUUCCAACUUGGUGAACUAGGUUUGGUUUCUUGAAGAAGUAGUACAAUAACCUUAAAUCAAGAGUGCAUGUUGUUUGCUUGUGUUUGGUGCAAAUGUGACAGCGGUGGUGGUGUCGAGUAGUAUGUGCAGCCACUACUUGUUGAAGAAGAAGAAGAAGAAGAGGAAGAUGGAGAAUUCCAGGGCGAUUUAACCGACAUAAUCAGAGCCACCGGCGGAGCAGAAACCCCCGCCGCCGCACCGGACUGGCACUUCCCCGCCAACCCGAUCACCUUCUCCACCAACCCGGCCGACGAUUUCGGUGAUCCCUUUGCGCACCUCAGAGAUCCGCUGAUCCAUAUCGAUGCACCGCCGCCGCUGCCAGGGUUCUUCCAUGGCUCCGACGUCAUCAAACCUAGUAGCGUCGAUGACAGCAAUCUAGGUCAUAAAAUUAUUGAUGAUGAGAUGAAGAGACCUCCGAAUAUCUUCUCGAGGAUGCUGCAGAUAUCUCCCACGCCAA